AGCUUGCUCCCGGAUGUUAGCGGCGGACGGGUGAGUAACACGUGGGUAACCUGCCUGUAAGACUGGGAUAACUCCGGGAAACCGGAGCUAAUACCGGAUAGUUCCUUGAACCGCAUGGUUCAAGGAUGAAAGACGGUUUCGGCUGUCACUUACAGAUGGACCCGCGGCGCAUUAGCUAGUUGGUGGGGUAAUGGCUCACCAAGGCGACGAUGCGUAGCCCACCUGAGAGGGUGAUCGGCCACACUGGGACUGAGACACGGCCCAGACUCCUACGGGAGGCAGCAGUAGGGAAUCUUCCGCAAUGGACGAAAGUCUGACGGAGCAACGCCGCGUGAGUGAUGAAGGUUUUCGGAUCGUAAAGCUCUGUUGUUAGGGAAAAACAAGUGCGAGAGUAACUGCUCGCACCUUGACGGUACCUAACCAGAAAGCCACGGCUAACUACGUGCCAGCAGCCGCGGUAAUACGUAGGUGGCAAGCGUUGUCCGGAAUUAUUGGGCGUAAAGGGCUCGCAGGCGGUUUCUUAAGUCUGAUGUGAAAGCCCCCGGCUCAACCGGGGAGGGUCAUUGGAAACUGGGAAACUUGAGUGCAGAAGA
This 593-nucleotide ribosomal RNA is filed under the name Bacillus zhangzhouensis. RNAcentral describes it as "bacterial SSU rRNA". It matches the Rfam family "Bacterial small subunit ribosomal RNA", at positions 77 to 655 of the family's 1533-position model. Lineage: Bacteria; Bacillati; Bacillota; Bacilli; Caryophanales; Bacillaceae. The record is from RNAcentral.